RNAcentral lists this non-coding RNA (217 nucleotides) under uncultured Alphaproteobacteria bacterium. Lineage: Bacteria; Pseudomonadati; Pseudomonadota; Alphaproteobacteria. The record is from RNAcentral.
GGCUAAACCGGGCUUCUCGGUUCCCGCUUUCGCGCGUUCGGCGCGGGCGGGUGAAAAGGGAAUUCGGUGGGGCGCGGGAAAUCGCGCCGAGUCCGAAGCUGCCUCCGCAACUGUGAGCGGCGAGUGCGGAUCGCCCAUGGCCACUGGGAAACCGGGAAGGCCGAUCCGGCGCAUCGACCCGCGAGCCAGGAGACCUGCCGGGACCGUAAGACCGUUU